Non-coding RNA from Mesocricetus auratus (golden hamster), 152 nucleotides. NCBI's taxonomy places the organism in Eukaryota, Metazoa, Chordata, Mammalia, Rodentia, Cricetidae. The record is from Ensembl.
GAGGUUUGAUGGAAACAACUCAUUUAGGGAAUUCCAAAAUUGACCUAAAUUAAAUUCCAAGGGAAAAAUCUUCCCUAGGUUCAGAAUAUGCAGUAAGAAAUGUGAACAUCGUAGCAGAUAUUUGAUGAUAAUGUAUUGUGCUGAAAACAGGG